CCCCUCCCGCCCCACGACCAAACCAGCACGGCGUAUAAAUGGCCUUUCUGUUAAAUGCCUAUUCUGUGACUUUAAAGCCAGAAAGGAACUAUUCUGCUGCUGUGUUUAGAUUAAAGCUGACAGAGCAGAUUGGAGAUAGCUGGGAUAGCUUCAGUCGAGCUAAUAGCUAAAGCCUUAGAUGUGACGGCUAUUCUGUUUCAGAUGAACGCGUUUCUGUCUAAUAAUGUAGUCGUUUGGGCAUUUACUGGUGCGAGGAGUUCAGGUAGUAGAAGGAAUCGAAUAGAAUCGAGUGUAUUCCCUUGUAAGUCUCAGUACUGGAACACACACUUACACAUCAUGUCAGUUUUAAUAACGAGCCUCUAAUAGUCU
Long non-coding RNA from Ictalurus punctatus (channel catfish), 369 nucleotides. The record is from Ensembl. Lineage: Eukaryota; Metazoa; Chordata; Actinopteri; Siluriformes; Ictaluridae.